GUUCCUCCGGCACCUGCAGGCUCACCAGGUCCCGGAAGAGCCGCUUGGAGCGCGGCACGUUCAGCCCUGAGAGCGCAGCGGGGACGGAGGCCGCAGCGGAUCUGGAACGACUUUCUCAGCUGUUCCUCCACGGCCUUCGCAGCAUCAAAGUGGCUCCCGGCUGCGGCCCGCAGCUCCAGGCCCAAGGCCAGGCUGCUCUUCAGCACGGGCAUCUCCAGCUCCUGCGGCACCGCAGGCUGCGGCUCGGACCGCACCGGGGAGGGCGGCGUCAGGCGGAAGCGGACCUGGGAGCAGAGGGCAGGGCAGUGACCAGGUGGGCGCGAGGCCGUCGCGGGCCGGGGGCCAGCCUCCCCCGCUCACCUGCCGCCGCUGCCGAGCCGCGCCCCGCCGCUCCGCCCGCCCCUUCCGCCGCCCGGGGCUGCCGUGCCGCGGCUGAGGGCUGUCGGGCCGCGGGCUCAGGCUCAAGUCCAGGCCGGGCUCGGGCACUGGGGCUCGGAGUUGCGGGACUUGGGGCUCCGGGGGUGGCCCCGGGACCGCCGCGGCUUCUUCCCCGUCCGCCGACUUCAGCUCUGACUCCCCACAACCCAUCAUCAUCUUUGGAGGAAGUGCUGUGGAACAUCAGAUAGAAUGGAUAGCACAGCCCAAAUUUUACAAAAAGGAUUUUAAAGGAAGAUCUCAAUGGUGGAACACUAGAGGCUUUCCUGCUAAAGUUAAGAACAAGCAAAGGCUGACGCAGUUUUGGCAUGCAGGAAGUGUUGGAGCUGAGACUCGAAACUGUCCCCCAGGCCUUGGCCAUGCUGAUAAAUAUCUAGGCCCUACAGGAGUUCGUGUCCAUGAACCCAGUAAACGCAAUUCCUCAGCCUUAAAAUCUAGUCACUGACUCAUUUCAGGCCCCAGCACAGACGAAAACAAGCCAUUCUGUUUGCCCAGUUUACAUUGCGGGUCUCCAAGAAGUGGAAUGUUCACCAAUGAUUUUAAGAAAACAGGGCCUGGCGCGGUGGCUCACGCCUGUAAUCCCAGCACUUUGGGAGGCCGAGGCAGGCAGAUCACCUGAG
RNAcentral lists this long non-coding RNA (1055 nucleotides) under Homo sapiens (human). RNAcentral describes it as "HSALNT0342292". Lineage: Eukaryota; Metazoa; Chordata; Mammalia; Primates; Hominidae. The record is from RNAcentral.